Molecule: long non-coding RNA, 386 nt
Organism: Cydia amplana
Lineage: Eukaryota; Metazoa; Arthropoda; Insecta; Lepidoptera; Tortricidae
Exons: 3
Source: RefSeq, a predicted model, not a curated record
AGCCAUGCACAGUUUUCCUGAACCAGAAAGAAAACCAGAAUUAUUUAGAACUUGGUUGUCAAUUGUUGGCGACAGAUUAAAGGAGACAGACCCACUGAAAAUUUAUAAAAAUAAGAAGAUUUGUGACCAUCAUUUCACACCAGAUCAAAAAGUGGCCUGUCAUCGUUUAAUAAAUAAGGCUGUACCGUCUGUGAAUUUCGAAGGUGUAACUAUGUCCUCUUGUCUCCUGGAAAUAGAGCACAAUUACCUACUGCCUGCCAAAUAUUGGAAAUAGAAACACAGCCAAUUUGUUUCAAGAAAAUCGGUCAAAUGACGAAGAAUUAAAUGAGCGUCUUCAUCCAACUCAACAUCCUUCUACAUCUCGAAACAGUUUUGAUAAGGGUAAA